This 253-nucleotide ribosomal RNA is filed under the name uncultured bacterium. RNAcentral's name for it is "partial 16S ribosomal RNA". It matches the Rfam family "Bacterial small subunit ribosomal RNA", at positions 524 to 776 of the family's 1533-position model. The record is from RNAcentral.
UACGUAGGGUGCAGGCGUUAAUCGGAAUUACUGGGCGUAAAGCGUGCGCAGGCGGUUUGCUAAGUCAGGUGUGAAAUCCCCGGGCUUAACCUGGGAACUGCGCUUGUUACUGGCAGGCUUGAGUGUGGCAGAGGGGGGUGGAAUUCCACGUGUAGCAGUGAAAUGCGUAGAGAUCGGAAAGAACACCAGCGGCGAAAGCAGCCCCCUGGGCUAGAACUGACGCUCAGGCACGAAAGCGUGGGGAGCAAACAGG